Molecule: ribosomal RNA, 468 nt
Filed under: uncultured bacterium
Lineage: Bacteria
Description: partial 16S ribosomal RNA
Rfam family: Bacterial small subunit ribosomal RNA
Source: RNAcentral
GACGAACGCUGGCGGCGUGCUUAACACAUGCAAGUCGAACGGAAAGGCCCUGCUUUUGUGGGGUGCUCGAGUGGCGAACGGGUGAGUAACACGUGAGUAACCUGCCCUUGACUUUGGGAUAACUUCAGGAAACUGGGGCUAAUACCGGAUAGGAGCUCCUGCUGCAUGGUGGGGGUUGGAAAGUUUCGGCGGUGGGGGAUGGACUCGCGGCUUAUCAGCUUGUUGGUGGGGUAGUGGCUUACCAAGGCUUGGACGGGUAGCCGGCCUGAGAGGGUGACCGGCCACAGUGGGACUGAGGUACGGCCCAGACUCCUACGGGAGGCAGCAGUGGGGAAUAGUGCACAAUGGGCGGAAGCCGGGUGCAGCAACGCCGCGUGCGGGAUGACGGCCUUCGGGGUGUAAACCGCUUUCGCCUGGGACGAAGCGUGAGUGACGGUAAUGGGUAAAGAAGCACCGGCUAACUACGUG